AUACGGAAGGUGCAAGCGUUAAUCGGAAUCACUGGGCGUAAAGCGCUCGUAGGUGGCUUUGUAAGUCAGGUGUGAAAGCCCAACGGCGUCAACCGUCGGAAUUGCACUUGAUACUGCAUUGCUUGAGUUCGGGAGAGGGUAGUGGAAUUCCAGGUGUAGGAGUGAAAUCCGUAGAGAUCUGGAGGAACACCAGUGGCGAAGGCGACUACCUGGACCGAUACUGACACUGAGGAGCGAAAGCGUGGGGAGC
Molecule: ribosomal RNA, 250 nt
Filed under: uncultured bacterium
Lineage: Bacteria
Description: partial 16S ribosomal RNA
Rfam family: Bacterial small subunit ribosomal RNA
Source: RNAcentral